Long non-coding RNA from Engraulis encrasicolus (European anchovy), 611 nucleotides. RefSeq lists it as uncharacterized. The record is from RefSeq and is a predicted model, not a curated record. Lineage: Eukaryota; Metazoa; Chordata; Actinopteri; Clupeiformes; Engraulidae. The transcript is spliced from 4 exons.
AACUAGUAGGUCCCCUUGCUCUCCAACUUACCAGGGUGGUCUUUUUUUGUGGUGAAGUUUUAUUUUAGAGAGAUAUUAAAGUUAAAUUGACCAAUGAGCAUCAGAAGAUGGUUUGAUUGACAGUUGGGAUUCUUUUCAGUCAGGCGCACGCUGAGAGGGCCGUCGUCAUGACUACUACUUGGCUGUGCGUGCCUAGGCUGGGACUGGGAAAUCUUGUCUAUCUGUGUGUUGCUCCUGAUAUUAUACUUUCAUAAACUUUGAACAUCAACUCGAUCGAUUGAUCUACUGUUGCCAUUGUUUGGCCAUCUCCUUGUGAAGUCGGGUGUACUUAUCGGUACUCUGAGCUGGAGCGCUGAUGUUUAGAUGCGAUGUCCCAACAAGAAUCACAGCACAUUUCUCCUUGGGAACUCAAGAGCCUAGGAGUACACCUCAGCAGGCACACCAGAGAAGGACCACUCCUGGAUAAGGAUUUGAGCCACUGCCACGACUGCCAUCUCUACACUAUAUUACACACGCCAGCAGAUGUGGGAGGUGGUGAUCAACGUGACCCGUCAGCAGGUGGAGGACUUCCACGGCCCCGCGGACUACUGAUUACUGUGUGUGGCCUAGAG